Pelobates cultripes (western spadefoot toad) is the source of this 104-nucleotide non-coding RNA. Lineage: Eukaryota; Metazoa; Chordata; Amphibia; Anura; Pelobatidae. The record is from the annotation of a GenBank genome assembly.
CUUCUCUCUCCUCCAGUCCAGUCAGCUCCCCCUGCAAGUCUCACGAGACUGCCAACUUAACGAGACUUGCAGGGGAGCUGACCGGACCAGAGGAGAGAGAAGGU